Molecule: ribosomal RNA, 299 nt
Filed under: uncultured bacterium
Lineage: Bacteria
Description: partial 16S ribosomal RNA
Rfam family: Bacterial small subunit ribosomal RNA
Source: RNAcentral
CUAUGCGCCUUGCCAGCCCGCUCAGGUUUGCCAGCCGCCGCGGUAAUACGUAGGUGGCAAGCGUUGUCCGGAUUUACUGGGUGUAAAGGGCGUGUAGCCGGGCUGACAAGUCAGAUGUGAAAUCCGGGGGCUCAACCCCGGGACUGCAUUUGAAACUGUCAGGCUGGAGUGCAGGAGAGGUAAGUGGAAUUCCUAGUGUAGCGGUGAAAUGCGUAGAUAUUAGGAGGAACACCAGUGGCGAAGGCGGCUUACUGGACUGUAACUGACGUUGAGGCUCGAAAGCGUGGGGAGCAAACAGG